Mastomys coucha (southern multimammate mouse) is the source of this 409-nucleotide long non-coding RNA. RefSeq lists it as uncharacterized. Lineage: Eukaryota; Metazoa; Chordata; Mammalia; Rodentia; Muridae. The record is from RefSeq and is a predicted model, not a curated record. The transcript has 3 exons.
UUCCCUAGAGUCCUUAAGCAUGUGCUGUUUCCCAUCUCCUCCUCAGCUUCAGCUCUGAACCCCGCAAGCCCUUACCUGCAGCGUGAAGAUUAAGAAGCAGGCACAGCGCAGGGAAGCCGAUCGCUCUCCUCUUCAUAGUGUGUGCAUUGAGGGGCAGAGGAGAAACUCCACCGCAAUCCCACUUCAGUUUGCAUAGAAGAAUCUACGUCCAAAUCAAGCACCUGAGAGCUAGUGUUCCUCCAUCAUUGCUGUAAGCAUCAGUGUAAGUCAGUGAGGUUCUGUGAACACCAGUGCUUGGUGUCUUAAAAGGAAGAGCUACCACUGAGUGUAACCGUGGAGAACAUUCUUCUAAGGCCUUGAAAUAAUGGCUUGGAACAAAAGCACCUUCAGUAUGAUCCUCUACCCACCA